Molecule: ribosomal RNA, 445 nt
Filed under: uncultured bacterium
Lineage: Bacteria
Description: partial 16S ribosomal RNA
Rfam family: Bacterial small subunit ribosomal RNA
Source: RNAcentral
GUGAGGAAUAUUGGUCAAUGGGCGAGAGCCUGAACCAGCCAAGUAGCGUGAGGGAUGACUGCCCUAUGGGUUGUAAACCUCUUUUGCAGGGGGGUAAAGUGGUCCACGUGUGGAUCAUUGCAAGUACCCUGCGAAUAAGGAUCGGCUAACUCCGUGCCAGCAGCCGCGGUAAUACGGAGGAUCCGAGCGUUAUCCGGAUUUAUUGGGUUUAAAGGGAGCGUAGGCGGGGGUUUAAGUCAGCUGUGAAAUGCCGUGGCCCAACCAUGGAACUGCAGUUGAAACUGGACCUCUUGAGAGUACAUAAGGAAGGCGGAAUUCGUGGUGUAGCGGUGAAAUGCAUAGAUAUCACGAAGAACUCCGAUUGCGAAGGCAGCUUUCCGGGGUACAUCUGACGCUGAAGCUCGAAAGUGCGGGAAUCAAACAGGAUUAGAAACCCGUGUAGUCC